RNAcentral lists this ribosomal RNA (491 nucleotides) under uncultured bacterium. RNAcentral's name for it is "partial 16S ribosomal RNA". It matches the Rfam family "Bacterial small subunit ribosomal RNA", at positions 29 to 506 of the family's 1533-position model. The record is from RNAcentral.
AGUGAACGCUGGCGGUAGGCCUAACACAUGCAAGUCGAACGGCAGCACAGUAAGAGCUUGCUCUUACGGGUGGCGAGUGGCGGACGGGUGAGGAAUACAUCGGAAUCUACUUUUUCGUGGGGGAUAACGUAGGGAAACUUACGCUAAUACCGCAUACGACCUACGGGUGAAAGCAGGGGAUCUUCGGACCUUGCGCGAUUGAAUGAGCCGAUGUCGGAUUAGCUAGUUGGCGGGGUAAAGGCCCACCAAGGCGACGAUCCGUAGCUGGUCUGAGAGGAUGAUCAGCCCCACUGGAACUGAGACACGGUCCAGACUCCUACGGGAGGCAGCAGUGGGGAAUAUUGGACAAUGGGCGCAAGCCUGAUCCAGCCAUACCGCGUGGGUGAAGAAGGCCUUCGGGUUGUAAAGCCCUUUUGUUGGGAAAGAAAAGCAGCAGGUUAAUACCCCGCUGUUCUGACGGUACCCAAAGAAUAAGCACCGGCUAACUUCGU